GCAUAUCAAUAAGCGGAGGAAAAGAAACCAACAGGGAUUGCCCUUAGUAACGGCGAAGUGAAGCGGCAACAGCUCAAAUUUGAAAUCUGGCGUCUUUGGCGUCCGAAGUUGUAAUUUGCAGAGGGCGCUUUGGCAUUGGCAGCGGUCCAAGUUCCUUGGAACAGGACGUCACAGAGGGUGAGAAUCCCGUACGUGGUCGCUAGCCUUUACCGUGUAAAGCCCCUUCGACGAGUCGAGUUGUUUGGGAAUGCAGCUCUAAAUGGGAGGUAAAUUUCUUCUAAAGCUAAAUACUGGCCAGAGACCGAUAGCGCACAAGUAGAGUGAUCGAAAGAUGAAAAGCACUUUGGAAAGAGAGUUAAAAAGCACGUGAAAUUGUUGAAAGGGAAGCGCUUGCAGCCAGACUUGCCUGUAGUUGCUCAUCCGGGUUUUUACCCGGUGCACUCUUCUAUAGGCAGGCCAGCAUCAGUUUGGGCGGUUGGAUAAAGGUCUCUGUCAUGUACCUCUCUUCGGGGAGAACUUAUAGGGGAGACGACAUGCAACCAGCCCGGACUGAGGUCCGCGCAUCUGCUAGGAUGCUGGCGUAAUGGCUGUAAGCGGCCCGUCUUGAAACACGGACCAAGGAGUCUAACAUCUAUGCGAGUGUUUGGGUGUCAAGCCCGAGCGCGUAAUGAAAGUGAACGGAGGUGGGAACCUUUCGGGGUGCACCAUCGACCGAUCCUGAUGUCUUCGGAUGGAUUUGAGUAAGAGCAUAGCUGUUGGGACCCGAAAGAUGGUGAACUAUGCUUGAAUAGGGUGAAGCCAGAGGAAACUCUGGUGGAGGCUCGCAGCGGUUCUGACGUGCAAAUCGAUCGUCAAAUUUGGGCAUAGGGGCGAAAGACUAAUCGAACUAUCUAGUAGCUGGUUCUGC
Molecule: ribosomal RNA, 907 nt
Filed under: Macroventuria anomochaeta
Lineage: Eukaryota; Fungi; Ascomycota; Dothideomycetes; Pleosporales; Didymellaceae
Description: LSU rRNA
Rfam family: Eukaryotic large subunit ribosomal RNA
Source: RNAcentral